GAUGAAGAACGCAGCGAAAUGCGAUACGUAAUGUGAAUUGCAGAAUUCAGUGAAUCAUCGAAUCUUUGAACGCAUAUUGCGCUCUCUGGUAUUCCGGAGAGCAUGCUUGUUUGAGUAUCAGUAAACACCUCAACUUCCAUAUCUUUUUUUGAAAUGGGAGUUGGACUUGAGUGAUCCCAACGCUUUUCCUCACCGAAAAGUGGCGGGUUACUUGAAAUGCAGGUGCAGCUGGACUUUUCUCUGAGCUAUAAGCAUAUCUAUUUAGUCUGCCUAAAAAACAGAUUAUUACCUUUGCUGCAGCUAACAUAAAGGAGAUUAGUUCUUGUGCUGACUGAUGCAGGAUUCACAAAGACAGCUUCGGCCGACUUUGUAAACUCGAUCUCAAAUCAAGUAAGACUACCCGCUGAACUUAAGCAUAUCAAUAAGCGAGGA
Molecule: unclassified non-coding RNA, 432 nt
Filed under: soil metagenome
Description: partial contains 5.8S ribosomal RNA, internal transcribed spacer 2, and large subunit ribosomal RNA
Rfam family: 5.8S ribosomal RNA (bases 1-120)
Source: RNAcentral